CAGCUCGUGUCGUGAGAUGUUGGGUUAAGUCCCGCAACGAGCGCAACCCUUGAUCUUAGUUGCCAGCAUUCAGUUGGGCACUCUAAGGUGACUGCCGGUGACAAACCGGAGGAAGGUGGGGAUGACGUCAAAUCAUCAUGCCCCUUAUGACCUGGGCUACACACGUGCUACAAUGGAUGGUACAAAGGGCAGCGAAGCCGCGAGGUGGAGCCAAUCCCACAAAACCAUUCUCAGUUCGGA
RNAcentral lists this ribosomal RNA (240 nucleotides) under uncultured bacterium. RNAcentral describes it as "partial 16S ribosomal RNA". It matches the Rfam family "Bacterial small subunit ribosomal RNA", at positions 1056 to 1297 of the family's 1533-position model. The record is from RNAcentral.